CCAGUACUCCCUCCGUCCGAAAAAGCUUGUCCCUCAUAUGGAUGUAUCUAGCACCAAGUUAGUGCUACCAUUUGAGAAAUAAGCUUGGGACAAGUUUUUCCGGACGGAGGGAGUAUGAU
Triticum aestivum (bread wheat) is the source of this 119-nucleotide non-coding RNA. The record is from Rfam. NCBI's taxonomy places the organism in Eukaryota, Viridiplantae, Streptophyta, Magnoliopsida, Poales, Poaceae.